UACGUAGGGUGCAAGCGUUGUCCGGAAUUAUUGGGCGUAAAGAGCUCGUAGGCGGUCUGUCACGUCGGCUGUGAAAUCCCGAGGCUCAACCUCGAACUUGCGGUGGGUACGGGCAGACUAGAGUGCGGUAGGGGAGACUGGAAUUCCUGGUGUAGCGGUGAAAUGCGCAGAUAUCAGGAGGAACACCGGUGGCGAAGGCGGGUCUCUGGGCCGUAACUGACGCUGAGGAGCGAAAGCAUGGGGAGCGAACAGG
RNAcentral lists this ribosomal RNA (253 nucleotides) under uncultured bacterium. RNAcentral describes it as "partial 16S ribosomal RNA". It matches the Rfam family "Bacterial small subunit ribosomal RNA", at positions 524 to 776 of the family's 1533-position model. The record is from RNAcentral.